Molecule: non-coding RNA, 97 nt
Organism: Pyrenophora teres f. teres 0-1
Lineage: Eukaryota; Fungi; Ascomycota; Dothideomycetes; Pleosporales; Pleosporaceae
Source: Rfam
UCGCAUAAUGAUGAACUUCAUUACUAUUUUCUGGUACCUCUUAUUUUAGGCGGGUCUUCACGGGCUUCGCCGGUGCAUUCAACUUGACUUUCUGAAA